This is a small nuclear RNA of Phyllostomus hastatus (greater spear-nosed bat), 190 nucleotides long. RefSeq annotates it as U2 spliceosomal RNA. The record is from RefSeq and is a predicted model, not a curated record. NCBI's taxonomy places the organism in Eukaryota, Metazoa, Chordata, Mammalia, Chiroptera, Phyllostomidae. The transcript has a single exon.
AUCACUUCUCAGGCUUUUGGCUGAGAUCAGGUGUAGUAUCAGUGAUUAUCAGUUUAAUAUCUGACAACUCCUCUCUCCGAGGACAUUAUAUUAAAUGGAAUUUUGGAGCUUGGAGAUGGAAUAGGAGCUUGCUCGUCCACUCCAAGCAUUGACCUGGUAUUGUGGUACUUAUGGAAACGGUGCACCCCCU